GAUCAUGGCUCAGAUUGAACGCUGGCGGCAGGCUUAACACAUGCAAGUCGAACGGUAACAUAAAGAAGCUUGCUUCUUUGAUGACGAGUGGCGGACGGGUGAGUAAUGCUUGGGAAUCUAGCUUAUGGAGGGGGAUAACUACGGGAAACUGUAGCUAAUACCGCGUAGAAUCGAGAGAUGAAAGUGUGGGACCUUCGGGCCACACGCCAUAGGAUGAGCCCAAGUGGGAUUAGGUAGUUGGUG
Molecule: ribosomal RNA, 243 nt
Filed under: uncultured bacterium
Lineage: Bacteria
Description: partial 16S ribosomal RNA
Rfam family: Bacterial small subunit ribosomal RNA
Source: RNAcentral